Molecule: ribosomal RNA, 253 nt
Filed under: uncultured bacterium
Lineage: Bacteria
Description: partial 16S ribosomal RNA
Rfam family: Bacterial small subunit ribosomal RNA
Source: RNAcentral
UACAGAGGUCUCAAGCGUUGUUCGGAUUCAUUGGGCGUAAAGGGUGCGUAGGCGGCGCGGUAAGUCGGGUGUGAAAUCUCGGAGCUUAACUCCGAAACUGCAUUCGAUACUGCCGUGCUUGAGGACUGGAGAGGAGACUGGAAUUUACGGUGUAGCGGUGAAAUGCGUAGAGAUCGUAAGGAAGACCAGUGGCGAAGGCGGGUCUCUGGACAGUUCCUGACACUGAGGCACGAAGGCCAGGGGAGCAAACGGG